GAUGAACGCUGGCGGCGUGCCUAAUACAUGCAAGUCGAGCGAACAGACGAGGAGCUUGCUCCUCUGACGUUAGCGGCGGACGGGUGAGUAACACGUGGAUAACCUACCUAUAAGACUGGGAUACUUCGGGAAACCGGAGCUAAUACCGGAUAAUAUAUUGAACCGCAUGGUUCAAUAGUUAAAGACGGUUUUGCUGUCACUUAUAGAUGGAUCCGCGCCGCAUUAGCUAGUUGGUAAGGUAACGGCUUACCAAGGCAACGAUGCGUAGCCGACCUGAGAGGGUGAUCGGCCACACUGGAACUGAGACACGGUCCAGACUCCUACGGGAGGCAGCAGUAGGGAAUCUUCCGCAAUGGGCGAAAGCCUGACGGAGCAACGCCGCGUGAGUGAUGAAGGUCUUCGGAUCGUAAAACUCUGUUAUUAGGGAAGAACAAAUGUGUAAGUAACUAUGCACGUCUUGACGGUACCUAAUCAGAAAGCCACGGCUAACUACGUG
RNAcentral lists this ribosomal RNA (496 nucleotides) under uncultured bacterium. RNAcentral's name for it is "partial 16S ribosomal RNA". It matches the Rfam family "Bacterial small subunit ribosomal RNA", at positions 28 to 507 of the family's 1533-position model. The record is from RNAcentral.